CAGUUUAGACUAGCUAGUUCUGGUUCACUUGCAUAAGUUGUCGAGUUUUGGUCAAUUUUAGCCGGUUCUUAGAUUGACAUUUCGCUGCACUAAUUUAAUUAUGUAAGUUGUUAUAGCUAUACAAAUUAUUAAUAAAACCAACUUAAUAUUUCAUUUGAUUAAUAUUUUUAUUUACUUAAUGAUGACAUCAAAAUAUAAUAAAAAAUUAAAAAACAUAUUUUAC
RNAcentral lists this long non-coding RNA (223 nucleotides) under Glycine max (soybean). Its description in RNAcentral is "long non-coding RNA (GMAX_LNC002917)". Lineage: Eukaryota; Viridiplantae; Streptophyta; Magnoliopsida; Fabales; Fabaceae. The record is from RNAcentral.